AGAGUUUGAUCCUGGCUCAGAUUGAACGCUGGCGGAAUGCUUUACACAUGCAAGUCGAACGGUAGAGGGGGCAACCCCUUGAGAGUGGCGAACGGGUGAGUAAUAUAUCGGAACGUGCCCAGUCGUGGGGGAUAACGUAGCGAAAGUUACGCUAAUACCGCAUACGAUCUAAGGAUGAAAGCGGGGGAUCGCAAGACCUCGCGCGAUUGGAGCGGCCGAUAUCAGAUUAGGUAGUUGGUGGGGUAAAGGCUCACCAAGCCAACGAUCUGUAGCUGGUCUGAGAGGACGACCAGCCACACUGGAACUGAGACACGGUCCAGACUCCUACGGGAGGCAGCAGUGGGGAAUUUUGGACAAUGGACGCAAGUCUGAUCCAGCCAUUCCGCGUGCAGGAUGAAGGCCCUCGGGUUGUAAACUGCUUUUGUACGGAACGAAAAGGUUUGUCUUAAUACGAUGAGCUCAUGACGGUACCGUAAGAAUAAGCACCGGCUAACUACGUGCCAGCAGCCGCGGUAAUACGUAGGGUGCAAGCGUUAAUCGGAAUUACUGGGCGUAAAGCGUGCGCAGGCGGUUAUGUAAGACAGAGGUGAAAUCCCCGGGCUCAACCUGGGAACUGCCUUUGUGACUGCAUAGCUAGAGUACGGUAGAGGGGGAUGGAAUUCCGCGUGUAGAAGUGAAAUGCGUAGAUAUGCGGAGGA
This 698-nucleotide ribosomal RNA is filed under the name uncultured Limnohabitans sp. RNAcentral describes it as "bacterial SSU rRNA". It matches the Rfam family "Bacterial small subunit ribosomal RNA", at positions 8 to 705 of the family's 1533-position model. Lineage: Bacteria; Pseudomonadati; Pseudomonadota; Betaproteobacteria; Burkholderiales; Comamonadaceae. The record is from RNAcentral.